RNAcentral lists this ribosomal RNA (435 nucleotides) under uncultured bacterium. RNAcentral's name for it is "partial 16S ribosomal RNA". It matches the Rfam family "Bacterial small subunit ribosomal RNA", at positions 29 to 507 of the family's 1533-position model. The record is from RNAcentral.
AGCGAACGCUGGCGGCAGGCCUAACACAUGCAAGUCGAACGAACCUUUCGGGGUUAGUGGCGGACGGGUGAGUAACACGUGGGAACGUGCCUUUAGGUUCGGAAUAACUCAGGGAAACUUGUGCUAAUACCGAAUGUGCCCUUCGGGGGAAAGAUUUAUCGCCUUUAGAGCGGCCCGCGUCUGAUUAGCUAGUUGGUUGAGGUAAUGGCUCACCAAGGCGACGAUCAGUAGCUGGUCUGAGAGGAUGAUCAGCCACAUUGGGACUGAGACACGGCCCAAACUCCCUACGGGAGGAGCAGGGGGGAAAUCUUGCGCAAUGGGCGAAAGCCUGACGCAGCCAUGCCGCGUGAAUGAUGAAGGUCUUAGGAUUGUAAAAUUCUUUCACCGGGGACGAUAAUGACGGUACCCGGAGAAGAAGCCCCGGCUAACUUCGUG